RNAcentral lists this ribosomal RNA (253 nucleotides) under uncultured bacterium. Its description in RNAcentral is "partial 16S ribosomal RNA". It matches the Rfam family "Bacterial small subunit ribosomal RNA", at positions 524 to 776 of the family's 1533-position model. The record is from RNAcentral.
UACGAAGGGGGCUAGCGUUGCUCGGAAUCACUGGGCGUAAAGCGCACGUAGGCGGAUUGUUAAGUCAGGGGUGAAAUCCUGGAGCUCAACUCCAGAACUGCCUUUGAUACUGGCGAUCUUGAGUCCGGGAGAGGUGAGUGGAACUGCGAGUGUAGAGGUGAAAUUCGUAGAUAUUCGCAAGAACACCAGUGGCGAAGGCGGCUCACUGGCCCGGUACUGACGCUGAGGUGCGAAAGCUAGGGGAGCAAACAGG